This 253-nucleotide ribosomal RNA is filed under the name uncultured bacterium. Its description in RNAcentral is "partial 16S ribosomal RNA". It matches the Rfam family "Bacterial small subunit ribosomal RNA", at positions 524 to 776 of the family's 1533-position model. The record is from RNAcentral.
UACGUAGGGUGCAAGCGUUGUCCGGAAUUAUUGGGCGUAAAGAGCUCGUAGGCGGUCUGUCACGUCGGAUGUGAAAGCCCGGGGCUUAACCCCGGGUCUGCAUUCGAUACGGGCAGACUAGAGUGUGGUAGGGGAGAUCGGAAUUCCUGGUGUAGCGGUGAAAUGCGCAGAUAUCAGGAGGAACACCGGUGGCGAAGGCGGAUCUCUGGGCCAUUACUGACGCUGAGGAGCGAAAGCGUGGGGAGCGAACAGG